CUACGGGUGGCUGCAGUGGGGAAUAUUGGGCAAUGGGCGCAAGCCUGACCCAGCAACGCCGCGUGAGGGAAGAAGGGUUUCGGCUUGCAAACAUUUGUCCUUGGGGACGAAGAAGUGACGGUACCCAAGGAGGAAGCUCCGGCUAACUACGUGCCAGCAGCCGCGGUAAUACGUAGGGAGCAAGCGUUGUCCGGAAUUACUGGGCGUAAAGGGUGCGUAGGCGGCAUAUUAAGUCAGGUGUGAAAUACUCGGGCUCAACCCGGGGGCUGCAUUUGAAACUGAUAUGCUUGAGUGUGAGAGAGGAAAGUGGAAUUCCUAGUGUAGCGGUGGAAUGCGUAGAUAUUAGGAGGAACACCAGUGGCGAAGGCGACUUUCUGGCUCAUAACUGACGCUGAGGCACGAAAGCGUGGGGAGCAAACAGGAUUAGAUACCCUAGUAUUC
Molecule: ribosomal RNA, 441 nt
Filed under: uncultured bacterium
Lineage: Bacteria
Description: partial 16S ribosomal RNA
Rfam family: Bacterial small subunit ribosomal RNA
Source: RNAcentral